Molecule: non-coding RNA, 1208 nt
Organism: Meleagris gallopavo (turkey)
Lineage: Eukaryota; Metazoa; Chordata; Aves; Galliformes; Phasianidae
Source: RefSeq, a predicted model, not a curated record
CCCGCCGCCGCGCAGCUUCGGUUAUCUAAGCUGUUACCGCUCAUUUCUCUCGCUAAUUUCUUAUUAACCAUCACUCUAGCUGGUCAGCUCCGUUUCAAGCAGUAAUUCAGUCUCAGGAAAAUCCACUUGUGGCACGCCGAUCAGCCAGGAGGUACUCCUCACUCCUCAAGAGUUUACAGAACCUCGAUUGAACUUACGCAGUUUGUGUUCAGCAGCCUAUCAGGAGUAAAGACGAACAGAAAAGAGGACACAUUGUGUCUUGGGUUGAGCUCACUCGCCCACUUGAAUUCGCACUUAGAAGAUGUAUGUGUUUGUGGCAGUUAAACCAGAAAGUUAAUGAGCAUUUGAACUUCCAAGGAAACAAGGUGAUUUGGAUAAAAAAAAUCAGAACAAAUCCCCCUUGAUUGGAGGAAUGACAGGAACGAAGAAAUGACAAGUCAGUGCCAAACUAUUUGCAGACCACUUACACAGUCCUAGAAAAGAAUCUGUCUCUCCCUAAAGAUUUCUUCCAAUGAAGUGCUAAGCUCAAAGUCUUUUGUUCUACCUUCAUAAUUUUCCAAUUUCCAUUCUUUUUGCAGGUUUUCUUGUUCUAUUUACAGGAAUAAACUGAAUAGCUAUGUGCUACUCUAGUAUUUAAAAAAAAUAUAAGGAAAAGGAGUACAAUAUAACACAAAUGUAAAAUUUUUAUUAUAGCCUGAGAAAUGUUUAAUGUUAAAAACAGAAGCACAAUGUACAUUCACAUGCUUUUUAAAGUGUUCUGUGAACUUGUAAAGCUCUGAAGAAAGACUUUUAUGGACAAAAGGAAAGAGGAACAGAGUCUAAUGUCCCAUGAACUCUGAACUCUAUCAACGAGUUUUACUAUAGUGAUGUCCUUAAAAAAAAAAGUUAUGGUACUGCAUGUUUCUGACACAUAUGGUGAUUUAUAAACAUCAAAAUUUUCAAUUUAUCAACAUUUCUUCAUCUGAUCUUAUGCAGUCUUGAAUUGACAGAUAAAGAGAGUUGCCAACAUCCCCCCAGAAAGCAAUGUAGGAAUUGUUAUGCAUACACUCACUUAAUGCUCCAGUUCAGAUAUGUAAACCCACCUGGUCAGGAAAGACUUGUGAGAUAAAAAUGCUCCUUUGAAAAAAAUUGAAGUUCAGUGACAGCUUAGAUUCUCACUGAAGUCUUAAAAACUUGGAUUUAGAAAAAGAGUGAGAAGUUCCAAUUUU